GUAGGGAGUGACAAAUCUUUCCAUUUCACUUCCUUAUCUUUCUGAUCUUAGUUCUCCACAUUUCCACAUCAGCUUGCGAAUUCAUGUAAUGUUUGACUGAUCUCCUUCCAUGGGAAUAACUGUAGCAUGCACAGGAUGCAGGGAGGGAGAAGCUGGCAGGUUGUGAAUUCUCCCUCAAAGACAAAACCUUUGGCCUCCUCUCUAGCAACAGCGGCAACCGUGAUCCUUACCCUGCUUUGCAAAGAUCUGAAGAAGCCCAAAAUCAUAAAGCCACAUGAAGUGAUUUGGGAGAAGCCAGCCACUUUCAGAUGUACAGCAGCAGAAAUGUGCCCAGGGACUAAGCCCCAAAUCACCUGGCCUACACAACAUAUCCAUGGAAUACUCAACAGAGCAAUUGGAGCUCGACCUAUGGAGUUGACAUCACCUUCAAGCCCAGCUUAG
Molecule: long non-coding RNA, 441 nt
Filed under: Podarcis muralis (Common wall lizard)
Lineage: Eukaryota; Metazoa; Chordata; Lepidosauria; Squamata; Lacertidae
Description: lncRNA (ENSPMRG00000007556.1)
Source: RNAcentral